GACGAACGUUGGCGGCGUGCUUAACACAUGCAAGUCGAACGGAAAGGCCCUGCUUUUGUGGGGUGCUCGAGUGGCGAACGGGUGAGUAACACGUGAGUAACCUGCCCUUGACUUUGGGAUAACUUCAGGAAACUGGGGCUAAUACCGGAUAGGAGCUCCUGCUGCAUGGUGGGGGUUGGAAAGUUUCGGCGGUUGGGGAUGGACUCGCGGCUUAUCAGCUUGUUGGUGGGGUAGUGGCUUACCAAGGCUUUGACGGGUAGCCGGCCUGAGAGGGUGACCGGCCACAUUGGGACUGAGAUACGGCCCAGACUCCUACGGGAGGCAGCAGUGGGGAAUAUUGCACAAUGGGCGGAAGCCUGAUGCAGCAACGCCGCGUGCGGGAUGACGGCCUUCGGGUUGUAAACCGCUUUCGCCUGUGACGAAGCGUGAGUGACGGUAAUGGGUAAAGAAGCACCGGCUAACUACGUGCCAGCAGCCGCGGUGAUACGUAGGGUGCGAGCGUUGUCCGGAUUUAUUGGGCGUAAAGGGCUCGUAGGUGGUUGAUCGCGUCGGAAGUGUAAUCUUGGGGCUUAACCCUGAGCGUGCUUUCGAUACGGGUUGACUUGAGGAAGGUAGGGGAGAAUGGAAUUCCUGGUGGAGCGGUGGAAUGCGCAGAUAUCAGGAGGAACACCAGUGGCGAAGGCGGUUCUCUGGGCCUUUCCUGACGCUGAGGAGCGAAAGCGUGGGGAGCGAACAGGCUUAGAUACCCUGGUAGUCCACGCUGUAAACGGUGGGUACUAGGUGUGGGGUCCAUUCCACGGGUUCCGUGCCGUAGCUAACGCUUUAAGUACCCCGCCUGGGGAGUACGGCCGCAAGGCUAAAACUCAAAGGAAUUGACGGGGCCCCGCACAAGCGGCGGAGCAUGCGGAUUAAUUCGAUGCAACGCGUAGAACCUUACCUGGGUUUGACAUGGAUCGGGAGUGCUCAGAGAUGGGUGUGCCUCUUUUGGGGUCGGUUCACAGGUGGUGCAUGGCUGUCGUCAGCUCGUGUCGUGAGAUGUUGGGUUAAGUCCCGCAACGAGCGCAACCCUUGUUCACUGUUGCCAGCACGUUAUGGUGGGGACUCAGUGGAGACCGCCGGGGUCAACUCGGAGGAAGGUGGGGAUGACGUCAAGUCAUCAUGCCCCUUAUGUCCAGGGCUUCACGCAUGCUACAAUGGCUGGUACAGAGAGUGGCGAGCCUGUGAGGGUGAGCGAAUCUCGGAAAGCCGGUCUCAGUUCGGAUUGGGGUCUGCAACUCGACCUCAUGAAGUUGGAGUCGCUAGUAAUCGCAGAUCAGCAACGCUGCGGUGAAUACGUUCCCGGGGCU
RNAcentral lists this ribosomal RNA (1346 nucleotides) under uncultured bacterium. RNAcentral's name for it is "partial 16S ribosomal RNA". It matches the Rfam family "Bacterial small subunit ribosomal RNA", at positions 28 to 1381 of the family's 1533-position model. The record is from RNAcentral.